GAGGUUAUGGCUCAGUGGUAGAGCUCAUGCUUAGCAUGUACGAGGUCCUAAGUUCAAUCCUCAGUACCUCCA
This 72-nucleotide transfer RNA is filed under the name Camelus bactrianus (Bactrian camel). It matches the Rfam family "tRNA". From Rfam's summary of the family: Transfer RNA (tRNA) molecules are approximately 80 nucleotides in length. Lineage: Eukaryota; Metazoa; Chordata; Mammalia; Artiodactyla; Camelidae. RNAcentral also lists the same sequence under 1 other name. The record is from Rfam by way of RNAcentral.